Non-coding RNA from Doryrhamphus excisus (bluestripe pipefish), 8215 nucleotides. The record is from RefSeq and is a predicted model, not a curated record. Lineage: Eukaryota; Metazoa; Chordata; Actinopteri; Syngnathiformes; Syngnathidae.
UUGCUAUCAAGCAGACGAGGGUCAUUUUGCGCAUGCGUAGUACAAAACAGCACGGGCUUCAAGAUGGCGUUCAAUUAUAAACCGCGGUCUUUGGCUGCAACUCGUCGAUUAAUGGACCAUGAUAUCAGCGAUUUUUUUUGUAAAGAAGAGUGCAUAACUGGAAACGAGCAUGAACACUAUGUGGACCAAUAGGACAUGCCUCUCAAACGCAGGGAUUUCGAUUCCCAAGUUCUGGAAGCCACGAAGAAAUGGGACGCCACUUGAUUCGCAUGACGUCAUCACCCUUCACCGCUUGACGUAGGCAUUGACCAUUCAAUUGUUUAUAGUAAAUGUAUCAUAAGGUGGAUACAUUUCUACAUUAUUUCAUUAUUAUAUAGCAUACCUCAGAACUUUUUCAUUUAAUAGCGUGAACAGAAAAUAUGUUGCAGAUCACUUUGGCCCCAGCCAUGUUAUGUUCUCUGUGACAUGCGUGGAAAACCUCCUGCUCCAGACCCAUUUAGUUAGCGCUUUGCUUUGCCACAACAUUUUGUAUUUUUGUAGGAACAGUAUGUUCCAGCAUUAUUCAGAAAAUAUUGUUUAAUGAGUUUCACGUGGAAGAAGUUGAAGGCUAAGGCUAGAACACUCAAGUAAACAUACAUCCCCAUAGAUUGUGUAUCUGUUCUCUGUGUUAUUAUUUCACAAAGCUUUUAUUUCUUCUAUAUUCUGUUAUUUUUAACCGUAUUUCCAUGUCCAUGUAGUGUAGAGUUUGAGCAAGCGGAGAAAGCCUACCUUAAGAAAUGUAAAAACCUCUUGCUCGUCUUUUCCAUUCACAUCUCCUUUCUCAAACAGCAGGAAGUUUGGAACAAAGCCGUUGCCGGGUCUGACAUACCUGGAAUCCAGAAGCGGGGGCACUUAUCAGUGGUUAUGUUUUUUUUUUUUUUUUUAGCUUUUUCCUGGCAGCCAGCUGUUGGAACUGUUGUAGAUAAGUUAUCCAAUUUGCUGGUCUAACUGUUUGCCUUUCUAGCUACAAGUUGGUAAGAUAGGUAUAGCUUUGUUCUCUGUGUAUGUAUGCAUGACUUGCUUUUAUUGCAGGAUGUGGCAUCAGCAGAAGGGGACAGUUGAUUGCUCAAGCAGUCAACCACAAGCAGAAGAAUGCGUGUAUGAUAAAGAUAGUGGUUUGUUUUUAAAUGGUCUCAACUGGAUAGUCAGGACACCCUUCCCCCGUAGCAGUUGAGACCUCCUGUGACCUAGGGAAUUCCUAAAUAAAAGGCAAGAGAGUGAAGGCUGUUUCAGAGUUGAUUUGGAGGUUGUUACUGAGCAGACUUCAAUCACUCUCCUUGCAAGUAAAACUAUCCCAGUCUCUUUGUCCUCUUUGAGCAGGUUGCUUUACAGAUGUUUGGUGAUUAAACCUGACAUUUACAUGGUCCUUCGAGCCGGAUCCCAAGAUACCUGACGAUUCCAGCGUGUGAGUGAGAUCCCAGACAAGUCCGUGGCCACGGCAAAAAGCCCCUUUCCGGGACUGGUUCCUCCCUCUCGGGCUGGGAUCCGACGGUUGACGGGAAAUCCAAGGACAAAGAGACUGUGAGUACAAAUUUUGUUUAAAAGGAAUGAAUGUGGGAAUAGACAAACCCUGCAGGUCAGACAGUUAAAUUCCGUAGGUGGGUAGACGCCCCUAGUUGAAACAGACUAGUUAAAUUCUACACAGGACGGCGGAGUCCUCUGUGCUGAAAAAGUAAGUGUACCAAACCCUGACAGUUCUAGACUCCAUCAGGUCAGACAGUUAAAUUCCGUGGGAGGACAGACUCCUCUAGUUGAAAUAAACUACGUUAAAUUCUGUGAAGGACGGCGGAGUCCUCUAGUCUGGAAAAACGGGACGCGCGAAGUGUGAAAGUGUGAAUGUAUGAAUGGAAAUACAAUUACCACUAGGUAACUGUGUUUUAUGCCAAACCAACAAGAAACAAAUGGUGAGCCUUUGUGGAUGCUUAUAGGCAAGAAAAUUCCACCUGAAAAGGUUGAAGAGAAUUUUACCACAAAAGGUUGUUGAUCACCGUCUUGUUGAAAAUAACCCCAGUGUUAGAACACGACAGGUGUUAAGAACCACUGGGUCCAAAUUUAGUUCAAAAUGGGGAAGGGACAAGGUAAAGAAAAACAAAGGUCCUUGAAGAACUCCCGUGUAAGGAUUGGAAAGUAGUUGAAAAAGCAGUAGACCCCCUAUAUUAUUGGAUAAAACAGUACGAAUUCAACGGAAAAUUAUCUACGGGAUGUAUUAGGGAGUUACAACAAAACAUAAAAAAGAAAUGUAAGCAAAACGAGAAGAAAAUGAAAAAGGAAGGUUAUGAGCAGACACGAGUCUGGAUGAAAAUAGCAGGACAGCAAGAGAAGGGUGAAAGAAGGGCAAGGCAGGAGAGAGAAGAGAAGAAAAAACAGGAGAAGGAGAGACAGCAAAAAGAAAAAAAAACAAAAAGAAAAGGAAAGUGAACAGAAAAAAAAGGAAAGUGAAGAGAAAGAAAAACCCGUAAUGUUUCACAGGAAGGAAGAUAAUGAAUAUUUAGGUCCUUACAACGUGUUGAGGCAACAAUUGGAACAGCCAGUGGGAGCCUCAGCACCAAAUGAAGAAUUAGGAAUAAAGCAACCCUGGAUAAAAAUGUUUAUAUGUCGCCAGAUAAGAAACCAAUCUUGCCAAAAAAGUGUAAAAGUGGGCUGAUGUUUGAGCCAUGGUGUUACACAUGUCUCAACAGGAGGGAUGUGUCACACUAUUAACACCCACUUUAAUUCGUAUUUAAAAAAUCUUAUUCAAAAAAUGUUGUAGAGCGUUUUUAAAGUGUGCAAAACGCAACAUCCAGGACAACUUGUGACCGAGGUGUGGCCAAUUUCCAAAACCACAAUAUUAAUUUCAAGUAAUACACAUGGACUUUAUUGAGCUAAAUAAAAGUGAAGGAAGGUCAGCCCUGAUUCUUGCAUCCCAGAGCUGUUGUAGAUUGGCUUCAGAUGGGAUGGAGUAGGGAUUAUGUGUGUGAGAUGGACCAGGAUCCUGUUCCUGGACCAGAUACUUGCUCCUUCACCCCAUUAUCUUUAUUACCUCCUGAGUUUAGUUUUCCAAUGAGUGAAUGGCCAUAAAUGCCUGAGACCAUCCUGGCUUUUUGGUUCUCCCACAAUGAUCUCUGCAAAGAUAACACGAGACGCAGCACAGGAUGCUAUGUCCUGACCUUCUACUAGUGGUUAACAGGUACUGAUCACAGUUUAACAUGCUAUUCAUCUAAUCUGCAUGCAAUAUAUUUUCAAUGAAACAGAAUUAGACUACAGCAGUCACUUUGUAAAUCAACUUUUGAGAAAAAGAGGAGUGAGUUUUAUAUGAACAAGAGAAAGUGAGUUAAACAAAAUAGAUAAGUGAGAUUUUUGUUGGGAAAAAUGGUGAUAAGGGAAAACAUCACAUUGCAUUGUUUAAAAGAAAAAUAAUUAUUUGAGAGAAAAUCAAAGAGCAUUCAAGAAUUUUGUUUAGGACAUGGACUGUUUGAAAAAAAAAAAUGAAAAAGGCUAAAAACCAUUGAGGGCAGAGAGCACGGCUUGCAGCUAAGACUUGCAAUGAUGAUCGUUACAUAGAUGAUGAAGAUCUGCAACACACACUGACAUGAAAAGAACAGACAAGACUUCUCAGAAUAGGUCUUCCUUCUCUUUCUCCUACAGUGCCUCAGUGUCUCAGAGUGGACCAUGAUCUUGAUCACAGACCUCCACCCUUGCUCUGCCAACAACCUGACAACAAUAUCCUGAUACAACAACAUGCAUGAUGAGUCCAAUAUCAUCAGCCAUGCCAUUAUGUCCAGUUUCAUCUCCACCAAGACCUGAAGAAGAUCCAACACAUGAACUGUGUUCUGACUGCAAAUGAUCCCUUCCAGACAUACAUUGUUGCUCGUAUCCAAACGGAUGCUUAGGAAGUAUCCUGUGACUGAUGGUGGAGACCAUGAGUGGGACAAUGGUGUAAGGAAGGCGUGUGGGGAGGCCAUAACAGCCCUGCUUGUGUUUAGUGAAGUUGUCCCACUUUCCCUGACCACUGAAGAGUUCUGAAGACGUUUGCUGACAUGGUGAUCACGGUGACGACAAUCACAUCACCAGCCACUAAAGCGGAAUGUGGCCGAAUUAGAACUGGAUGGAUCACACCUUUGAUGCAAGGACAAGCCAUGCACCAGAAUCCAUGGGUGGCAACAAAUGGCCACCUGCAAGGAGGACAUCCAGAGAAGAGACUGGGACAGCAAUAUGACCCUGGCAUGUGCAGCAAAAGGGGACUUUGGACCAAAGACUUGAUGAAGGACUUUCUUAACAAGCAAGGUGGAAGGAAGCAAGGAGGUGGGGCGUGAUGGGAUCAUGCCUACUCUGACUCAUCUGAUGCCAAGGAUGAUACUGAAGUUGACAGUAACACACACACACACAUACACAUCUAUAUGCCCUGUCCUUUUCUUCCUUUUGUUUAGAGUCUUGGCUUAAAUCAGCCCUCUUGCUGAUAACUAUGUAGAAUAUGAUCUACUUCUCUCUUUUAGAAUAUGCUAUAAGAAGACGUAGUACAAAAUAUGGCAAGGUUAUUUCUUUUCCUUUCUGAUGAAACACACUCACUAAGAAUGACAAAUUCCUAACCUCUCCAAAGUUGAAUGGCAAUUAUGUUAACUUUGUUGGCCAAUCAGGUGAAGUGGACCAAAGACAAGUCACCAUUGGAUUUUCUGUUUAAGAGAAAAUUCAACUUCAAAAAUUAAGUUUGUUGGCAUAUGGUGCAAAGGACCAAAUGGCCUAUUUUCUAAUCCAGAUGGAGGUGAAGGUGUAAAAACUGACACUGACCCUGAUGUUCACACUUUGGUGAAGCAAGAGGCCAAUCAGCUGUAUGCAUUUCAAAGGAAGAUGCAAACUGGUGACAUGAGUGCUCAACUGGUGGAGGAGGUUAAGAAUGUACUUUCACGCACUCACGCACACACACACACACACACACACAAUUUAUGCAAAUUGAUGCUCUGCAAGGUCUUCAAUGCACAUCAUACCUUUCUAUGGUGAUGAGAAAUUUGAUAAAAGAUAUUGACAUAGGGAUAGCUGUUAGGGGAAUGUUUAUCUCACAAAUAUUUUGUUCUGGGCAUAAGUGCUGCCUUGAUGCACAUUUGGGUUAUUCAGGUACCGUUUUUUUUUUGACGUCAAUGAUUCCAUUCCUCAUGGGUCUCUAUCUAAAAGAGACACAGUGACAAAUGGAAUAAUGUGGGCCUUUUUUGUACAAGCAUGCUAUUUUACAUUUGAUCGGGAAUGCAAAAACAAUUUGUUAAUUUAUUACAGUCCGGAAUUGGAUUUUUUGAAAAGUGUUUUUCGGCAAAAAUACACUCAGAAAGGACUGUCCAGCUGGUUUUUCAUUGUUGUGUUGUCUUGUUUGUCUGUGAGAGUGAAUGUGAGGCUGAAGCCAUCCCUGACCAUCACUUUGGGAAAGGGAAACAAAUGUUUUGCAAUACAGAACAAACCCAAUGAUUAGUUUAUUAAUAGACGCAUGCAAAGAACAUAUUAGGUUGUUCUGCUCUUUUAGCAUCAAUAGGCAUAAAUUAAAUCUGCUAAAAUGUAGAUAGUUAAUUUAGGGUAUGCAGGACCUUCAUCUAAAAAUUAGCUAUUCCGAAAAAGGCCUUGUAAAUUAGGACAAUCCGACUUUCAAAGGAACUUGGACCUUUUAAAUGUUGCAAAUGACAUCCUGACAUGACGACUAUGAGUGCGACACACCGACAGCAGGGUUCUUCAGGGGGACAGUGGACUGUGACAAAAAUUUAAAUUGACUGAAAAUUAAAUGUGAGUGUUCUUUUAGGGUUGUUAUUGUGUUGUGGGAAUACAUCAACUACCAUGAUAUAUUCCAACCUAACCUUCAUUGUUCCACAUUAGGAAAGCACAUUCUCCGGGAGGAGGAGAAGACAAAUGUCAUAUGUGGCCGAAACAUGACAUCUUUUUUGUUUAAAACUGUUUAACAGUACUAACAUGUACUAACAUUAACACUGUAACACUUGAAGUCAUUCACACACCUGGCAGGGUGUGUCAUCGUUUUAACUUCAGUUUGUUCCACAGGACACUUCUUCAGGAUCCAGAGUAUGAAUUGUUGAACUUUGUUUGAUGUUGUCCAGCUUCACAGAUUACUGUUUGCAGAUGUAUAAACAGAUAACCACCAUUUGACUUUACAGGGAACUGCCAAUGCUUUUGGAAGUUGACACAUGGGAAAAACAUGUGUCAAAAGGGGGGACAAAUAUCAUUUUGUUGAGUAAUCAUUGUUAAGAAUUGGACAUGAUAUAUUAUUUUUUGCUAAAAUUGGUUUCUCCAAAACCAAAGUGAGUGAAACAAAGGUAGGUAUGAGUUCUAACAUUAGAGGUUGAUAAUGAUCAGUGAUCAGCAGUGGCAGUGACACUCCAUGGAUUGUACAACAUGCUGAAGAUUUUGGUAAGUUACUGUAUCUUGUUUUUUCUUAACUAUAUUACUGUAUUUGGUAUUUUGCCUUCCAUAGUGCCAAUGGUCAUGCUAAUGAGAGCAAAUGGUUCAUUGAAACCCAAAUUCCCAGCUGUGAGCAAGGAACACUACUACAGUGUGACAAUGUCCAUCUUAAUGCAAAUUCAGACCAGAUGGUGUGUUGGUUUAAAUUCAGUGAAACCUUGUGUUGUUUGGCAAAAACUUAAAUGCAGAGGGUGGAUGUUAAAAUUAAAGUUAAAAUAGAUGUUGGUGGCAUGAUGGCAGAGUGGUUAGCACUGCUGUCUCACAGCAAGAAGGUUUGAGAACCUUUCUGUGUGGAGUUUCAUGUUCUCCUCAUGCUUACGUGGGCUUUCUCCUGACGAUUAGAAAAUUUUAAGGCUCAUUUACAAUCAACGUCAAUGGCCAAAAUAUGAACAAAGUGUUGUAUUCAGUCAGACACUACAUGAUGGUUGCCUACUGCUCUUAGGUUGCCUACUGCUCUCGAGAUUAGUGAGAUUAGUCAUGUGUAGGGAACACAUCUGACAUGUAUCACGUAGAUGGUAAAAUGUUGUGUUGCUCAUUCAUUUCUUUCUAUGUUCUUGGUGGGUGUCGAGUGACCUGACAUCUGUUGGCCCUGGCGGGCAUGGAGAGGACGUGUUGGAGUUCCAGCAGAGGGAAGACUCCACUGUCAGCGUGGUCAAAUGAGAGACCUGCACACAGAUCGGUCAAGGUCAAGACACUACCUGAACACUAGAGGACUACAACUACAACGACAACCAGAACGGAAGAAAUGUCCAUGCACACUCAACCUUCUCAACUGCGUGUUUGGAUGGAGUCCACGAGUUCGCACCGUGAGCUCCUGCAGCCUACAAUCAAGAGGAUUGGCUGACUGACUGACUGACAGCAAACCAUCAACAGAGGCACAAGGACUUCGACAUGAUUCGGCAAUCUAACAUCUCAAAUCAUACACAUCAAGUUCACCACAUCGUUGAUGUCAUACGGAAAACAUCUACCACAAAAGUUGAAGACAAAGACUUUAAGACACCUGGACAUCCAUUCGUCUUUUUCCUGUGUCACUUAUCUAUCCCAGUUGACGUUGGGCAAGAGGAUACACUGCUAUCCAACCAAUUAAGCAAGAAGUGUCAGGUAUAUGCACUCUUGCCCUAAGCAGAUGAAAAAGGCGAUGACGACCGAGAAGAUAGCUUUCUCAAUCUACCAGACUUGUUCCCAGAUCCAGGAGACUAUGAGUCUCCCCUCUGAGUGUAACAUGCUGUGCUAAAGUAAUGAUUUCUUGACUGAAAAUCGUUUUAGAAGAGGUCAUUGAAUGAUAACCUAUUUAGUGCAAACUGGAUAAACAGGAGGGAAAUGUUGGAACUGUUGUAGAUAAGUUAUCCAAUUUGCUGGUCUAACUGUUUGCCUUUCUAGCUACAAGUUGGUAAGAUAGGUAUAGCUUUGUUCUCUGUGUAUGUAUGCAUGACUUGCUUUUAUUGCAGGAUGUGGCAUCAGCAGAAGGGGACAGUUGAUUGCUCAAGCAGUCAACCACAAGCAGAAGAAUGCGUGUAUGAUAAAGAUAGUGGUUUGUUUUUAAAUGGUCUCAACUGGAUAGUCAGGACACCCUUCCCCCGUAGCAGUUGAGACCUCCUGUGACCUAGGGAAUUCCUAAAUAAAAGGCAAGAGAGUGAAGGCUGUUUCAGAGUUGAUUUGGAGGUUGUUACUGAGCAGACUUCAAUCACUCUCCUUGCAAGUAAAACUAUCCCAGUCUCUUUGUCCUCUUUGAGCAGGUUGCUUUACAGAU